GCUUAGAAUUCACAAUGACCAGAGAAAUAUCCUGAACAACUACUAUAUAGAGAAUGGCAAGAGCAUCCUAAACACUGAGCUAGCUCUGCCAAUGUGUUCAUCAACCUCAUCAUGUAUGUGUGCAUCCUUGCUAAAUAUAAUGCCAAAGUAAGUGAACUUAUCCACAGAAUUCAAAAUUUCACCAU
Molecule: long non-coding RNA, 185 nt
Filed under: Monodelphis domestica (gray short-tailed opossum)
Lineage: Eukaryota; Metazoa; Chordata; Mammalia; Didelphimorphia; Didelphidae
Description: lncRNA (ENSMODG00000041364.1)
Source: RNAcentral